CCUACGGGAGGCAGCAGUGGGGAAUUUUGGACAAUUGGCGCAAGCCUGAUCCAGCCAUGCCGCGUGCGGGAAGAAGGCCUUCGGGUUGUAAACCGCUUUUGUCAGGGAAGAAAAGGUUCUGGCUAAUACCUGGGACUCAUGACGGUACCUGAAGGAUAAGCACCGGCUAACUACGUGCCAGCAGCCGCGGUAAUACGUAGGGUGCAAGCGUUAAUCGGAAUUACUGGGCGUAAAGCGUGCGCAGGCGGUUAUGCAAGACAGAGGUGAAAUCCCCGGGCUCAACCUGGGAACUGCCUUUGUGACUGCAUGGCUAGAGUACGGUAGAGGGGGAUGGAAUUCCGCGUGUAGCAGUGAAAUGCGUAGAUAUGCGGAGGAACACCGAUGGCGAAGGCAAUCCCCUGGACCUGUACUGACGCUCAUGCACGAAAGCGUGGGGAGCAAACAGGAUUAGAUACCCUGGUAGU
Molecule: ribosomal RNA, 464 nt
Filed under: uncultured Comamonadaceae bacterium
Lineage: Bacteria; Pseudomonadati; Pseudomonadota; Betaproteobacteria; Burkholderiales; Comamonadaceae
Description: partial 16S ribosomal RNA
Rfam family: Bacterial small subunit ribosomal RNA
Source: RNAcentral